UACGGGGGGGGCAAGCGUUGUUCGGAAUCACUGGGCGUAAAGCGCACGUAGGCGGAUCUUUAAGUCAGGGGUGAAAUCCUGGAGCUCAACUCCAGAACUGCCUUCGAUACUGGAAGACUUGAGUCCGGGAGAGGUGAGUGGAACUGCGAGUGUAGAGGUGAAAUUCGUAGAUAUUCGCAAGAACACCAGUGGCGAAGGCGGCUCACUGGCCCGGGUACUGACGCUGAGGUGCGAAAGCGUGGGGAGCAAACAGG
Molecule: ribosomal RNA, 254 nt
Filed under: uncultured bacterium
Lineage: Bacteria
Description: partial 16S ribosomal RNA
Rfam family: Bacterial small subunit ribosomal RNA
Source: RNAcentral